UGGUCAGUCCACAUCUGGUCAGUGGGACCUGU
This 32-nucleotide non-coding RNA is filed under the name Homo sapiens (human). The record is from RNAcentral. Lineage: Eukaryota; Metazoa; Chordata; Mammalia; Primates; Hominidae.